UGCGCCUUGCCAGCCCGCUCAGAAACUCAAAUGAAUUGACGGGGCCCGCACAAGCGGAGGAGCAUGUGGUUUAAUUCGAUGAUACGCGAGGAACCUUACCUGGGCUCGAACGUAAGAUGACUGUAGGUGAAAGCUUACAUCUCUUCGGAGCAUUUUACGAGGUGCUGCAUGGUUGUCGUCAGCUCGUGCCGUGAGGUGUCGGGUUAAGUCCCAUAACGAGCGCAACCCCUACCUUUAGUUGCCAUCAGGUAAUGCUGGGGACUCUAAAGGAACUGCCUACGCAAGUAGUGAGGAAGGCGGGGAUGACGUCAAAUCAGCACGGCCCUUACGUCCAGGGCUACACACGUGUUACAAUGGCCAGUACAGAGGGCAGCCACCCCGCGAGGGGGCGCUAAUCCUAAAAGCUGGUCCCAGUUCGGAUCGGAGUCUGCAACCCGACUCCGUGAAGCUGGAUUCGCUAGUAAUCGCGCAUCAGCCACGGCGCGGUGAAUACGUUCCCGGGCCUU
This 506-nucleotide ribosomal RNA is filed under the name uncultured Sphingobacteriales bacterium. RNAcentral's name for it is "bacterial SSU rRNA". It matches the Rfam family "Bacterial small subunit ribosomal RNA", at positions 903 to 1382 of the family's 1533-position model. The record is from RNAcentral. Lineage: Bacteria; Pseudomonadati; Bacteroidota; Sphingobacteriia; Sphingobacteriales.